AUUUCUGAAUUAUUCAGUGUUGUCCACGUACUAGUUGUCAUAAACAGACUUUCGAUCUCUUUAUGAUGGCAGUACAGCAGAUCACUUAAGGAUUGCUAAGACAUGAAUUAACGUUUCUAACACUUGACAAAGUUACAACAUCCUACGUUGAAAAUGGACUAGACGAUACUGAUAAUAAUAAUGGUUUUAUGCAAAAUUGCAGUGCAACAGAUCACUCAAGGCUUGCUGAGCAUGAAUUAACAUUUUUAGCGCUUGGAAUAGUUUCAACAUCCUAUGUUUAAUAUGGAUUAGAAGGUAUUAAUAUUAAUAAUGGUGUUUUGCACGGUACGUGAAUGAAUGUAAAUGAUAGCAACAUAAUAGAAAUGUAACAAAAAGUUAGUGUUAUGAAACCCUUACCAUUAGAUUAAGUAAAUGAUUCUUAUUUAGCAUUAUUAACUUCCAUGUAUUUCAUUGAUGAUGAUACUUCAUAAAC
RNAcentral lists this long non-coding RNA (472 nucleotides) under Rhopalosiphum maidis (corn leaf aphid). RNAcentral describes it as "uncharacterized LOC113558982". Lineage: Eukaryota; Metazoa; Arthropoda; Insecta; Hemiptera; Aphididae. The record is from RNAcentral.